RNAcentral lists this ribosomal RNA (245 nucleotides) under uncultured bacterium. Its description in RNAcentral is "partial small subunit ribosomal RNA". It matches the Rfam family "Bacterial small subunit ribosomal RNA", at positions 26 to 285 of the family's 1533-position model. The record is from RNAcentral.
AGAGUCAACGCUGGCGGCGUGCCUAACACAUGCAAGUCGCACGAGAAAGGGGAGCAAUCCCUGAGUACAGUGGCGCACGGGUGAGUAACACGUGAAUGAUCUACCUCCGAGUGGGGAAUAACUGAGAGAAAUCUUGGCUAAUACCGCAUAAUACCCACGGGUCAAAGCAGCAAUGCGCUUGGAGAGGAGUUCGCGGCCGAUUAGCUAGUUGGCGGGGUAAUGGCCCACCAAGGCGAUGAUCGGUA